Molecule: ribosomal RNA, 490 nt
Filed under: uncultured bacterium
Lineage: Bacteria
Description: partial 16S ribosomal RNA
Rfam family: Bacterial small subunit ribosomal RNA
Source: RNAcentral
GAUGAACGCUAGCUACAGGCUUAACACAUGCAAGUCGAGGGGAAACGAUGAGAGAGCUUGCUCUCUUAGGCGUCGACCGGCGCACGGGUGAGUAACGCGUAUCCAACCUACCCAUUACAGGGGGAUAACCUUGCGAAAGUAAGACUAAUACCCCAUGGCAUUUUAUGGUGGCAUCAUUAUAGGAUUAAAGAUUUAUUGGUAAUGGAUGGGGAUGCGUCUGAUUAGCUUGUUGGCGGGGUAACGGCCCACCAAGGCAACGAUCAGUAGGGGUUCUGAGAGGAAGGUCCCCCACAUUGGAACUGAGACACGGUCCAAACUCCUACGGGAGGCAGCAGUGAGGAAUAUGGGUCAAUGGGCGAGAGCUUGAACCAGCCAAGUAGCGUGCAGGAUGACGGCCCUAUGGGUGGUAAACUGCUUUUAUAGGGGAAUAAAGUGAGCUACGUGUAGUUUAUUGCAUGUACCCUAUGAAUAAGGACCGGCUAAUUCCGUG